UUUCGUCGGGGAAGAAAUGACUGUACCCGAAUAAGAAGGUCCGGCUAACUUCGUGCCAGCAGCCGCGGUAAUACGAAGGGACCUAGCGUAGUUCGGAAUUACUGGGCUUAAAGAGUUCGUAGGUGGUUGAAAAAGUUGGUGGUGAAAUCCCAGAGCUUAACUCUGGAACUGCCAUCAAAACUUUUCAGCUAGAGUAUGAUAGAGGAAAGCAGAAUUUCUAGUGUAGAGGUGAAAUUCGUAGAUAUUAGAAAGAAUACCAAUUGCGAAGGCAGCUUUCUGGAUCAUUACUGACACUGAGGAACGAAAGCAUGGGUAGCGAAGAGGAUUAGAUACCCUCGUAGUCCAUGCCGUAAACGAUGUGUGUUAGACGUUGGAAAUUUAUUUUCAGUGUCGCAGCGAAAGCGAUAAACACACCGCCUGGGGAGUACGACCGCAAGGUUAAAACUCAAAUGAAUUGACGGGGACCCGCACAAGUAGUGGAGCAUGUGGUUUAAUUCGAAGAUACGCGCAGAACCUUACCAACACUUGACAUGUUCGUCGCGACUUUAAGAGAUUAAAGUUUUCGGUUCGGCCGGACGAAACACAGGUGCUGCAUGGCUGUCGUCAGCUCGUGUCGUGAGAUGUUGGGUUAAGUCCCGCAACGAGCGCAACCCUCACUUUUAGUUGCCAUCAUUAAGUUGGGCACUCUGAAAGAACUGCCAGUGAUAAGCUGGAGGAAGGUGGGGAUGACGUCAAGUCCUCAUGGCCCUUACGUGUUGGGCUACACACGUGCUACAAUGGUAUCUACAACAGGAAGCAAAACUGCGAAGUUAAGCAAAUCCUUAAAAGAUACCUCAGUUCGGAUUGCACUCUGCAACUCGAGUGCAUGAAGCUGGAAUUACUAGUAAUCGUGGAUCAGCGUGCCACGGUGAAUGCGUU
RNAcentral lists this ribosomal RNA (918 nucleotides) under marine metagenome. RNAcentral describes it as "bacterial SSU rRNA". It matches the Rfam family "Bacterial small subunit ribosomal RNA", at positions 434 to 1372 of the family's 1533-position model. The record is from RNAcentral.